AAGUAGCUGCAGGAAGAGAAAGCAAAAGCGAUUGCCUUAGUAGCGGCGAGCGAAACGGCAGGAGGGCAAACCGAAGAGUUUACUCUUCGGGGUUGUAGGACUGCAAUGUGGACUCAAAGAUUAUAGAAGAAUGAUUUGGGAAGAUCAGCCAAAGAGAGUAAUAGCCUCGUAUUUAAAAUAGUCUUUGUACCUAGCAGUAUCCUGAGUACGGCGGGACACGUGAAAUCCCGUCGGAAUCUGGGAGGACCAUCUCCCAACCCUAAAUACUCCCUAGUGACCGAUAGUGAACCAGUACCGUGAGGGAAAGGUGAAAAGCACCCCGGGAGGGGAGUGAAAUAGAACCUGAAACCGUGUGCCUACAACAAGUUCGAGCCCGUUAAUGGGUGAGAGCGUGCCUUUUGUAGAAUGAACCGGCGAGUUACGAUAUGAUGCGAGGUUAAGUUGAAGAGACGGAGCCGUAGGGAAACCGAGUCUGAAUAGGGCGCCUUAGUAUCAUGUCGUAGACCCGAAACCAUGUGACCUACCCAUGAGCAGGUUGAAGG
RNAcentral lists this ribosomal RNA (542 nucleotides) under Porphyromonas sp. RNAcentral describes it as "partial 23S ribosomal RNA". It matches the Rfam family "Bacterial large subunit ribosomal RNA", at positions 204 to 751 of the family's 2925-position model. Lineage: Bacteria; Pseudomonadati; Bacteroidota; Bacteroidia; Bacteroidales; Porphyromonadaceae. The record is from RNAcentral.